AAUUAUCCAAUUUCAUGGACCAAUCGAUAUCGGAUUGAGUCCAAAACUUGGGGAACAUCAUAAUACUGUGGGAGGAGUCAUUUGGUGGGUUUUGAGUGAAAUCCAAUCCCCAAAACUAUACAAUACACCAACCACUCCAUUUCAGAACAAACUUGGUACGAUCCGGAAUUGUCCAAAUUCCAAGACCAAUCGAUAUCGGAUUGACUCGAAAACUUGGGGAACAUCAUAAUUUUAUGGGAGGAGUCAUUUUGUGAGUUUUGAG
RNAcentral lists this long non-coding RNA (262 nucleotides) under Prunus persica (peach). RNAcentral describes it as "long non-coding RNA (PPER_LNC004638)". Lineage: Eukaryota; Viridiplantae; Streptophyta; Magnoliopsida; Rosales; Rosaceae. The record is from RNAcentral.